CACAAUUAAACAACCAUUUAUAGAUUCAUAAUUAACAAAAAUAUACAACCAGAAGACCACUUAAACCUCAUCCAACCUAUACAAUAUGUUGUAGACCGUAAUUAAUAUAGACACAAACAUCAAAAUCAAAUAUAAUUAAUACAUACAUAAUCCCUCUAUACGUUAACAUUCUUAAAACCCAUAAACGUUAUUAUACACUUCUCUUGCAAAUACUAACAUAGAACUCACACAAUGAAAAGGGCUUGUGUUGCAAAGAUCAAUUCCAUGUGCCGUGUCUUCCUAUGGAAAGGGGAUCCAGAGGCCCACAACACUGCGAGAGUAGCUUGGUCAACAGUGGUGAAGACUAAGGAAGAAGGUGGGUUAGGCGUCAAGGAUCUCCUGUUAUGGAACAAGGCGUGCUGUCUGCGUUUGAUCUGGCUAAUCUUCUUCAUGCCUGAGUCAGUGUGGGCGGCUUGGUUCAAAGAAGUAAUCCUCAAAGGCUCAGUAUUACUUGACUACCAAGCCCUCGCAGAGUUUCUCUUGGCUAACAAACAAACUAUUGAAGCUAAGAGAUGUAGCUUACCCCUUAAUUCACCUUCGUAUACAUAAUGGAAAGGGCUGCAGGUUUUGGGUUGACAACUGGAGUCCCUAUGGCAAGCUUGAGGACUACUUGGAGGGAGGGAGAUCAAGCCUUGGUAUCCCACAAAACACAACUCUAGCCUCGCUACAUCACAAUGGCUCAUGGCGCCUUCCAGCGGCGAGAACAGAGCGCCAAGUUCAGGUUCUUUCUUUCAUCACUACAAUCAUGUUCAGUGAAGAAUCAGAUUACUAUAAAUGGGAGAUUAGGGGUAAGACUAGAAAGAAAUAUAGCACAGGAGAGGUCUACCAAUACUUGAAAGGCAUCGUUGAAGUUGUAACUUGGGCAAGAGCAAUAUGGAUCUCAAGAGGCAUACCACGGCAGAGCUUCCAUGCGUGGCUGGUGGCUCUGAAUAGGAUUCCAACCCGAGAUAGGCUAAUUGGUUGGGGGCUGCAGUUUCCUCUAAUCUGCCUCCUUUGCAACACCACUGACGAAUCGAGAGAUCAUCUGUACUGGGUUGUAACUUCUCUUAUCAACUAUGGUCCCUCGUCGCCUCUAGAUGCAGAAUCAAUCCACUCCGGAGCUGGGAGAGCUCUCUGAACCAGAUGAAGACUCUACCUCCACCAAACAAAACUCAAUCCUUAACCCUACUUGGAUGGCAAGCCACGAUCUAUUGGAUCUGGAACGAGCGAAACCAACACUUGCAUGCAAACCGAUUUCGAUCGGUGGACUCCCUCUUCUCGAGCAUUGAUCACCGGGUGAGAAACAAAAUACAGAGCUUCAGAGAAUCCCAUCCCACUCGAUGCUCUGAGAUGAUGCAAUUGUGGAUCCGUUGACUUCAGCUUGGCUGCUUAGAACUAGGUCCUCGCUAUCCAGAUGGGGAACAAAGAAGAAAGACUCCUCGGUGAAUCGAUGCUCCAUCUCUCUCAACUUCCCUUCCUCUAACCACUGACUAGUAUGGGCUUCUAACCGGGCCUCAGAUGACUGGGUUUAAUAUGUUAUAAACUAUGAGUUCAUUGGGCUAUGCUCUUUCACUAGAGCCUUGGGCUUUUGUAAACAUUUUGCUUUCUUUUGCAUUUAUAUAAGCCAGUUACAAAAAAACUCACACAAUGAAAAUAUACAAUAAUAUAGUUAUAUACAUCACACGUAAAACAUAUCCCAGCGCACGGACCGAC
RNAcentral lists this long non-coding RNA (1731 nucleotides) under Brassica napus (rape). RNAcentral describes it as "long non-coding RNA (BNAP_LNC009949)". The record is from RNAcentral. Lineage: Eukaryota; Viridiplantae; Streptophyta; Magnoliopsida; Brassicales; Brassicaceae.